ACGAUGAUGCCCAGCUUGCUGGGUGGAUUAGUGGCGAACGGGUGAGUAACACGUGAGUAACCUGCCCCUGACUCUGGGAUAAGCGUUGGAAACGACGUCUAAUACUGGAUAUGACUGCCGGCCGCAUGGUCUGGUGGUGGAAAGAUUUUUUGGUUGGGGAUGGACUCGCGGCCUAUCAGCUUGUUGGUGAGGUAAUGGCUCACCAAGGCGACGACGGGUAGCCGGCCUGAGAGGGUGACCGGCCACACUGGGACUGAGACACGGCCCAGACUCCUACGGGAGGCAGCAGUGGGGAAUAUUGCACAAUGGGCGAAAGCCUGAUGCAGCAACGCCGCGUGAGGGAUGACGGCCUUCGGGUUGUAAACCUCUUUUAGUAGGGAAGAAGCGUAAGUGACCGUACCUGCAGAAAAAGCACCGGCUAACUACGUGCCAGCAGCCGCGGUAAUACGUAGGGUGCAAGCGUUGUCCGGAAUUAUUGGGCGUAAAGAGCUCGUAGGCGGUUUGUCGCGUCUGCUGUGAAAUCCCGAGGCUCAACCUCGGGCUUGCAGUGGGUACGGGCAGACUAGAGUGCGGUUAGGGGAGAUUGGGAAUUCCUGGUGUAGCGGGUGGAAUGCGCAGAUAUCAGGAGGAACACCGAUGGCGAAGGCAGAUCUCUGGGCCGUAACUGACGCUGAGGAGCGAAAGCGUGGGGAGCGAACAGGAUUAGAUACCCUGGUAGUCCACGCCGUAAACGUUGGGCGCUAGAUGUAGGGACCUUUCCACGGUUUCUGUGUCGUAGCUAACGCAUUAAGCGCCCCGCCUGGGGGAGUACGGCCGCAAGGCUAAAACUCAAAGGAAUUGACGGGGGCCCGCACAAGCGGCGGAGCAUGCGGAUUAAUUCGAUGCAACGCGAAGAACCUUACCAAGGCUUGACAUACACCGGAAACGGCCAGAGAUGGUUGCCCCCUUGUGGUCGGUGUACAGGUGGUGCAUGGUUGUCGUCAGCUCCUGUCGUGAGAUGUUGGGUUAAAUCCCGCAACCAGCGCAACCCUCGUUCUAUGUUGCCAGCGCGUUAUGGCGGGGACUCAUAGGAGACUGCCGGGGUCAACUCGGAGGAAGGUGGGGAUGACGUCAAAUCAUCAUGCCCCUUAUGUCUUGGGCUUCACGCAUGCUACAAUGGCCGGUACAAAGGGCUGCGAUACCGUAAGGUGGAGCGAAUCCCAAAAAGCCGGUCUCAGUUCGGAUUGAGGUCUGCAACUCGACCUCAUGAAGUCGGAGUCGCUAGUAAUCGCAGAUCAGCAACGCUGCGGUGAAUACGUUCCCGGGCCUUGUACACACCGCCCGUCAAGUCAUGAAAGUCGGUAACACCCGGAAGCCGGUGGCCUAACCCUUGUGGAAGGAGCCGUCGAA
RNAcentral lists this ribosomal RNA (1389 nucleotides) under Curtobacterium sp. NCCP-521. RNAcentral's name for it is "16S ribosomal RNA". It matches the Rfam family "Bacterial small subunit ribosomal RNA". Lineage: Bacteria; Bacillati; Actinomycetota; Actinomycetes; Micrococcales; Microbacteriaceae. The record is from RNAcentral.